UUCUACACUUUAACAGCAACUAUCAACUACAUUUAUACUUCCAGGUACAGGAAAACAUAAUUAACUGGAAGCAACAGAAAUAUUAUGUUCAUGUUCAGUUUAUUUAGUCCAAGUUAAAAAAGAAAAUAGUGAUGCUACAGAAACAAAACAGAUACUGACAACAUAAUCUAAACAGUCAUAUGCCUUAGGUAAACAGUGGUUGCAUACCACUAUAAAUCAAAAGGAAGAAAAAGUUCCAAUUACUAUAAUAAACAGUAAGCAUUAAAACCAUAAAAUAUCUCAUAUCAGUUCUGUGAAAUUAAAAUUAUGCUGAUUAUACCAAAAUUUUUAAGUAUUUAGUAAUAGAUAAAUGUCCAAAGAGGUGGUCUUGUUUUGCUAUUUUAACCAAAUAUUCAAGAAUUCUAAUGAGCUGUAGUGCAGAGACAGCUAACUGCCAGAUGCUCUGCUACAGUCUGGGCUGCUACUGUGGUGGGGUAUGAGACAGAAAAAAAGGUCAGAUGCAGGCAGAGGGGACUACAGAAACAGGAGCAACAGGCCACAAAAAACACACCAACUCAGAUGGGCAGGGAGGGAGAUUCUUGCAGUGCACCAAGCUUCUGUAUCUGAACAAGGAUAGUGAAAUAUUCUACAGGUUAUCAUCAUCAAUGUUAAAAAGUGACUACAUGUCUGUGUGUGUUUAGAACACAUUCUGAUUUUCAUAUCAUUUGACAGAAAUAUCAGGUUCCUGUACAGUUUGAGUUCAACAAGGAAGUAAUAAUUCCAGCUUAGACACCACUACACCAUACAGCAAUUCUUUUAUAAUGUGACAAUCCAGUUCGCGCCACAGCACAAGUCGCUGCCUGGGGUUCCUGCCUCUGCCCCUACUCCUCGAGUGCUGCUGCUGAUGCAGUCCCCACUGCACCUGAGGAUGUAGCCAGCACAGCCACCGCUGCCACCAACUCCGUCGCCUCUGUUGCUGGGUCCUGUGUAGCCAUCGUCUCCAACACUCCCACUGGUGCCUCUGGUGCCAACUGCUUACCUUGACUUGGACAUCAUUAUGAAGAUGCUGACCCUGGUCCUGCUCCACAGCCUCUCAAAAGAAGGCAGGAUGGCACACUAAAUCACCUCAUCACCACUUCCAUCCCUAUUCGCUGCUGUCUGCUCAUCGCAUGCUGCACCAGCCACCAUCAUUGGGCAAUGAAAUGGAUGUCGGGGCAGUCAUUGGUAUUUUCUGUGACUGUUAAUAUCAGUGCUUUGUGAGAUCAGUGCUCUUUUUUAUGGUACCAGUGCUUAUUUUCUGUACCAGUGCUUUUUUUCUGUACCAUGCAUUUUUCUGUACAUAGUGAAUUUAUUUAUGUGAUUGUCCCAACCCUGGAAGGGAAGAGUGAUGCACCUUCACUCAUGAUCCACAUGAUAUCAGAGAUUGUGUGUCCAUACAGUUCAUAGGCCUGCUUACAGGGGCCACCUGGGACAGUUCCCUGGCAUGCUCUGGUGAGGCGCCAAAAGAAACAAUAUUAUUUAAGUAACCACGAAUGAGUGCUCAGCCUAUUCUGUAACCAUUAUUACUGUAGUCCAGCCAAUGUGUUCAGUGCUGUGAACAACCUGAACUUCAUUGCAACUUCUGUGUUUCUCUACAAAGUACUACAUUCCAUUGCUACAGCAAUAACCACCUGUAGACUUUCUACACACUCUGUCACCAGCCCAAUCAGAGUCAACAUAAUGAAUUACAGUACGAGUACAAUUCUUAUCACCUGCACAUAACAGGUUAGUUUUAGGCUAGGCGCAAAUUGAGAUGCGUAUAGCACGUGUGGCGCGACGCAGUGCAGCGCAUGUUUUUGUAACAUCACAGGUUCAAAUGGGACCGCGUCAACUGCGACGCGACAUGACUGGGAUGCGACAUGCACCUGCAUCAGGUCGCGCGGAGUUGUGGUUGAGGCACAGUUUCUCACGCCACGCGUCGCACUUGCCUUGCUAGCACCGUGGGAAAUUUGAGGUGGGGAGCGGAAAAGUAGCACGGCCAUAUGCUCACAUCGGAACGGCGCAUAUGAGCAGUGGUAAUAUUGCCCAUACGAUAAAUUUUGCCUUACUGUGUAGAAUUUUAUAGCCUUUGGGUAGUGUUUCGUUUUUCACCAUUUAAACGCUCCAGCUUUCUUUGUUAGCAUGUUAUACUUUUCUGUUAUUUAUAUGAGCAUAGUUUUGUUUUGUUUUUCUUCUGUCAAGAAAAAUGUAUACUUCAGUAACUGAUGAGCCAUUGGCCGCUGGAAUUGCACCAUAUGCCUCAGUGAUGUUUUCAGAUCGCAAGAAGGGACAGAGGGUAGUGAAUGAGGAAGCAAGGAAUAUUAUAAAAUCAUGUGAUUAAGAAUCAAAGCAGGAAAGUAAAGCAAUGUUAUCUUCUCGCUGCCUAGUAAGCUAGCGUAUCUAUACGAUCUGUUACAAAAAUUUAGAAAGGGAUAAUCUCCACAGGUGCGAUCCCUUUGUGCAUCUGGUAAAAAGCGUCCAAGAUCUGAAGUAUAGAAGUUUCACAGUGAUUACUCUGAUAUGGAUGUAAUAAUGUAAUACGACACACUGUACUACAUGCAUGUGAACAACAUAUUUCCACUGCAAGCUGGAAACAGUCAAAAUGCAGUCACAAAUAACAAUGUUUUAAUUGGUUCGCCGUGAUGAGAAAAAGCAUUUCAAUUGUUCCAUGGACAUUAUCAGAAUUAAUAAACUAAUUAUACAACAAUAGGAUACACAAAUGAAGAAAAUGGUCGGUAUUAUUAUGAAAGUAGGAAUAUCCUAAAAGAUUGUUACGAUUAGAUAUAUUUAAUUUGUUGAAAUGUGCUGCUGACAAAGGCAGAUCUACUUUCAUGACAAUGUUUUUCUAACUCCAUCUCACAAGGCACACAUGGCUAGCUUGUGCAUUCCAGUCGUGCGCAUUAUCCUUCGCUGCUGACAAUAAACUGAUCAUUGUGUUGUGCGACAGAUCAAUUGUUUAUUUUUCUGAACAACAACUAUUUUAUUCGCGAUCACGCAAUGUCAGUUUGGCAAGCCCUGGGUGAGUAAACAGUAUCUGGCAUGUGCCUAUCAUUCCGCCUGAAGGAACGCUCGUCAUUAUUUUAAUACUGCUCAGAUCAAGAGAAGGAAUAAAAUCUUUUGGUAAGUUUCCAUUCCAGUUGCUCAGUGUUAGAAAUACGAUGGGUUACGGGGAUUCCACCAAAAUUCCAACAGAAUUGCCAGUCUGUUUUUGUGUGAGUUGUUAACCUUUUCUCAUUCGAAGAAGCAUCACCAAUUUAUGAGUAAAGGCCACAUUUCUCUUGGUGACUGGUUUAAUUGUACUUCCUUUGUCACAAUGUAAUUUGCCAAACUCCUCUCACAUCAGCUAUUGAGACAGAAUUCCAAAACGGAGGGCCUCAUUAAACAAGUAGUUGGCAAUCACAGAGCUCAAUAGCUUACGAAAAACCUCGUAGUAUCGGUUUGCAGUAACAUAAAAGAAGAAAUUUCAUUUUUAUUUUCAUACUAGGAAGCUCUUGUUUCACUAGCUGUCGACAACUCUUAAAAAAUACAGUCACUGGAGUGAGAUAAAUAAAAAAAGAAGUAUAAGUAGUGAUAAAUCACCAUAGAUAAGAAAGUUCCAUGUGUUUAAUAAUUGGCAAAACACUCUCCUCCUUGUGUGCUAUCAUUCGCCAAACUUUCGUUUCAAUGUCUCGAGUGGUUUAGGAGAUACGAGAAAUGUUGCGAGUAUUUCAUUCUUGCGGAUGUGAGAUGGGAAGUGAGCGCGCUACAUGGGAUCCAUUUUCUCGAGAUCGGAGGCAGAUAGAGAUAUCCUUCCACAUCUAAACAACAAUUCAGCAUGUUAGCUGAAUUACAUACGCAGCAACAUAUGGUGUAACACGCACAGAACGCAAAAUCAUAGCAACCCCUAAUUUUCGUUGUAAACUUUUUGAGUUUUGUGUAGUGUCUUACUAAAAUGUGUACAUCACAAUAAGAAUGGUCAUUAGUGAGGUGA
Long non-coding RNA from Schistocerca gregaria, 3967 nucleotides. RefSeq lists it as uncharacterized. The transcript has 3 exons. The record is from RefSeq and is a predicted model, not a curated record. Lineage: Eukaryota; Metazoa; Arthropoda; Insecta; Orthoptera; Acrididae.